Magnolia sinica is the source of this 1419-nucleotide RNA transcript. It is a transcript of the gene named probable CCR4-associated factor 1 homolog 11, with no coding region annotated. NCBI's taxonomy places the organism in Eukaryota, Viridiplantae, Streptophyta, Magnoliopsida, Magnoliales, Magnoliaceae. The record is from RefSeq and is a predicted model, not a curated record. The transcript has 3 exons.
AGCAACAUCCAUCUUUCCCUUCUUUUCAUCUUACUUCUAUAAAAAAAACCUCACCCACCUUCAGACACCAUAUGACAAACCCAAUCCCACAAGUCAAUCCCAUCAGGUUCAACGGACGGCUGAGGAUAAUCCAAAUCCCAUCACCACCACCGCCACCAUGCUUUCGUCCGACGAGUCGAAACCGAAACCGAAACCGAUCGUCAUCCGGCAAGUCUGGUCACACAACCUCUACUCGGAGUUCCAACUCAUCCGUGACUGCAUCGACCUAUUCCCCUUCAUCUCGAUGGACACCGAGUUCCCAGGCGUCGUCUUCCGCCCCGACGCAAUCCCCGCCGUACAUCGCCGACGCUCGGCCGACCACUACCGCGUCCUCAAAGUCAACGUCGACGCCCUCAAUCUCAUCCAGCUGGGCCUCACACUCUCCGACUCGGCCGGCAACCUCCCCGAUCUCGGCACCGACAACUGCUUCAUCUGGGAAUUCAAUUUCCGGGACUUCGAUGUUUCUCGCGAUCUCCACGCCUCCGAUUCCAUCGAUCUCUUGAGGCGGAACGGUGUCGAUUUCGAGCGGAACUGCCGGGAUGGCGUUGACUCGACCCUCUUCGCCGAGCUCAUGAUGUCGUCCGGAGUCGUCUGCAAUGAUUCGGUGAGUUGGGUCACCUUCCACAGCGCCUAUGAUUUCGGCUACCUGAUCAAGGUGCUGACGAGGCGGCCGCUCCCGGAAGGCGUUGCGGAGUUCCUGAGCCUGAUGAGGGUGUUCUUUGGGGAGAGGGUUUAUGAUCUGAAGCACCUGAUGAGGUUCUGUGAGAGCCUAUAUGGAGGGCUGGAUCGGCUCGCGAGUUCGUUGGAGGUGGACCGUGCCGUGGGGAAAUGCCACCAGGCCGGGUCCGACAGCCUGCUAACGUGGCACUCCUUCUUGAGGCUCAAGGAGAGGUAUUUCUGUUCAGAUGAAGCAGAGAAGCAUGCCGGUGUGUUGUAUGGGCUGGAUGAAGUUUGCUAUUGAGCGAAUUCCAUGUACCGUGGCGAUGUUGUAAAUAAAGGACAUGGUAAGGAAGAAGAAAUGAAAAAGAAGAAUUUGUUAAGCUGAUAUGUGGAGGUUUGCCCCUUCAAAGAGGUUAUUCGGAACAUAGUGAAGGAAGAGAAAUAGAAGAGAGUGAAUGGGGGAAAAAGUAGGGUUUGGACGCCCACUCCCUCCCUCUUGCUUAUAUUCUUAACUGAUAACUGCAUAAAAAAAGAAGAAGAAGAAGACCAGAUUGACCCUUAUAACAAUGUAUUUUGUACUAUAAGCAAACUAAAGCUGAAGCACAUGAUCUUACCUCCAGCCUUGACAAUUAGAUUCCAAGUUUGUCCUUGCUUUCAUGAUUCGACCGUGAAGAUCCACCCAUGAACUAAGUAGUGCGACACGUACAUGCCUUUCUUGGA